UGAUACAUUCCCCAAGGUCUGGUAGUACAAAUCAUGAGCUUCUAAGAAUAGAGUUUACAAAGCUGGUAUGAAGUAAACAUAUUAUCUGUUUGAAAAGUAUAUAAAUAGAGUUUGAUAAAUCUAAGGCUACCAAGAAUAAGAGGCAGCUACAACCGGUAUGCAGGUACAUCUUCAGAUCCAGCUCCCAACGAACACAACAACAACAGCAGCCAACAUCUGCACGCAAGGUGUAGAAGUGUAGUAUGAGUACAACCGACCCCAUGUACUCAAUAAGUAACAAACCUAACCUUAGUUUGAAAGUAGUGACGAGCUUGUACCAAGGUCAGAGUUCAACUACCAUAACCAACAGCAAUUCAUAACAACAUUAAACAAGUAAUACAAAAAACGUAACUCAGAGAUAAAAUGCUCAGCUUAUAUCAUGAUUUCUAAAAAUAGUUCCGCCUUUCAAGUACAUUAAUGAAAACCCAAACCAUUUACCGAAGUUGCCAAAAAUAUCAAUAAGUUUGAAAACAGUAAUUUUUCUCAAAAAUAGUUUCAAUGAUAAUUAAGGUGUCUCAUUUUCUUUCCAGAUAGCCACUGUAAAAUAAAUGCAUCACUAUGCCCUUAUGUCAAUAUGUGUCAGAAGUCAUGAAUGACGUGAUACCGUACAGCAUGAGGAAAAUACAUCUCUAUGCAUGUAUGUCUUGUGUGCAUGUCAAUGCAAUGUAUCUCAAAGAUGAACUUAUGUACUCACACUAUCAGAGUACUCAAUUUCACUGUCUCACACAUUCCACUCAUCAUGCUCAAUCACUCGGUGUUGUAUAUGGCCAAUCCGGCGCAGGGAAGAUCCAUCCCGAAUUAUACACAUCAACUGAUCAUCAGUCACACAGUACCGAGUAAGGCCAAUCCAGCCCAUGGAAAAGAUCCAUUUUCAGGUAUAUAAUGCUUCGGACAAGAUCCAUGUCCAGGGAAGAUGCAUCCCUCAAUAAUAUCAAUCACGCUCAUUAGAGUGUGUGCAGACUCCGGAAGGGCUCCUUCAGCCCAUGCGCUAUCAUAAAUUAGUAUAAUCGUUGCGGUGUGCAGCCCGAUCCCAUAAUGUUACUCAUAAUCAGGUCCUCGGCCUCAAUCAGCCAUCAAUCUCUCCAGUCUCUCUCUCUCUCUCUCUCUCUCUCUCUCUCUCUCUCUCUCUCUCGGGCUGACAAAGUCAUGAAACUAGCCCAAAAAUGAUGAUAUGAUGUAUAUAUAAAUAGCAACAGAGACUGAGAUAUGAUAUGCACAUGAAUAUGUAUGGAUGAGUAUGUAAUGCAAUGAAAGCAGAUAAGUCAACAACAUAAAUGACCUCAGUGGGUCCCAAAAGAAUAAGCAUGUAGCCUAGGAAUGGCUUCUAACAUGAAUCAUAGCUCGAUAACUCUAGUACAUAAAGAUUUCAUGAUUACAGAUAAGUUCAGGUAACUACACAGUACCACAGAAUUAACGGAAUCACAGUUCACAUGGUGCAUGCCCACACGCCCAUCAUCUAGCAUGUGCGUCACUUCAACACC
This 1520-nucleotide long non-coding RNA is filed under the name Nicotiana tabacum (common tobacco). RNAcentral describes it as "long non-coding RNA (NTAB_LNC001225)". The record is from RNAcentral. Lineage: Eukaryota; Viridiplantae; Streptophyta; Magnoliopsida; Solanales; Solanaceae.